AGCAGCCGCGGUAAUUCCAGCUCCAAUAGCGUAUAUUAAAGUUGUUGCAGUUAAAAGCUCGUAGUUGAAUUUCGGGAUCAAAGGAUCGGUCAUGCCUUGGUAUGUACUGGUUUUAUUGGUUCUCACCUUCUAAAGAACCAUAAUGUCAUUCAUUUGAUGUUAUGGGGAAUAGGACUGUUACCUUGAAAAAUUAGAGUGUUUAAAGCAGGCUUACGCUUGAAUACAUUAGCAUGGAAUAAUGAAAUAGGACAUCAGAUUCUAUUUUGUUGGUUUCUAGGAUCGAUGUAAUGAUUAAUAGGGAUAGUUGGGGGCAUUAGUAUUCAAUUGUCAGAGGUGAAAUUCUUGGAUUUAUUGAAGACUAACUACUGCGAAAGCAUUUGCCAAGGAUGUUUCAUUAAUCAAGAACGAAAGUUAGGGGAUCGAAGACGAUCAGAUACCGUCGUAGUCUUAACCAUAAACUAUGCCGACUAGGGAUCGGAUGAUGUUAAUUUUAUAAUGACUCAUUCC
This 507-nucleotide unclassified non-coding RNA is filed under the name uncultured Glomus. RNAcentral's name for it is "SSU rRNA". It matches the Rfam family "Eukaryotic small subunit ribosomal RNA", at positions 569 to 1082 of the family's 1831-position model. Lineage: Eukaryota; Fungi; Glomeromycota; Glomeromycetes; Glomerales; Glomeraceae. The record is from RNAcentral.